This 403-nucleotide ribosomal RNA is filed under the name uncultured bacterium. RNAcentral's name for it is "partial 16S ribosomal RNA". It matches the Rfam family "Bacterial small subunit ribosomal RNA", at positions 30 to 526 of the family's 1533-position model. The record is from RNAcentral.
AUUGAACGCUGGCGGCAGGCCUAACACAUGCAAGUCGAGCGAGCGGCGGACGGGUGAGUAAUGUAUGGGGACUGCCCGAUAGAGGGGGAUAACUACUGGAAACGGUGGCUAAUACCGCAUACUAUCGGAUAACCCAUAUGGGAUUAGCUAGUAGGUGGGGUAAAGGCUCACCUAGGCGACGAUCUCUAGCUGGUCUGAGAGGAUGAUCAGCCACACUGGGACUGAGACACGGCCCAGACUCCUACGGAGGCAGCAGUGGGGAAUAUUGCACAAUGGGCGCAAGCCUGAUGCAGCCAUGCCGCGUGUAUGAAGAAGGCCUUAGGGUUGUAAAGUUCUUUCGGUAUUGAGGCGUUAAAUACAGAAGAAGCACCGGCUAACUCCGUGCCAGCAGCCGCGGUAAUAC